UACGGAGGAUGCGAGCGUUAUCCGGAUUUAUUGGGCUUAAAGGGUGCGUAGGCGGCUUUUUAAGUCAGCGGUGAAAUUUUGCAGCUUAACUGUAACAGUGCCGUUGAUACUGGGGAGCUAGGAUUUGGUUGCUGUGGGUGGAAUGUGUGGUGUAGCGGUGAAAUGCUUAGAGAUCACACAGAAUAUCGAUUGCGAAGGCAGCUCACAAAGCCAAGAUUGACGCUGAGGCACGAAAGUGUGGGGAUCAAACAGGA
RNAcentral lists this ribosomal RNA (254 nucleotides) under uncultured prokaryote. Its description in RNAcentral is "partial 16S ribosomal RNA". It matches the Rfam family "Bacterial small subunit ribosomal RNA", at positions 524 to 777 of the family's 1533-position model. The record is from RNAcentral.